Molecule: long non-coding RNA, 727 nt
Organism: Stylophora pistillata
Lineage: Eukaryota; Metazoa; Cnidaria; Anthozoa; Scleractinia; Pocilloporidae
Source: RefSeq, a predicted model, not a curated record
UAUGAACGUGCACACACUUGAUUCAAAGAUGGCGGCUAGUAUGUGAGUCUCACGAAUGCUCGUAUUUUAUCUCGAUUUUUGGAAAAUAUCUCGACUUUUAGAGUUUGAUUUGGCUAUGAAUAUACUCUUUUAACAUGCCUGGUGUAAAUUGUGCGGUUUUUGGAUGUGGUUCUUGUAGAAGAACCAAAGGAAUCGGCAUUUUCAAGUUGCCCUUAGCGAAAGAUGAAAAUCACAAGAGAUGGCGCAACGAGUGGCUUGGUGUACUCAAGAAAACAAGGGAAAUGGAUAAAGAUUUUAAAAGACAGAUAGAUGAAGACAAACUCUACACUUUCGAAAAGCAUUUUUUGUCCGAAGAUAUUGAAAUAUAGAGUCAGGUUUAAGACUUUGUCUGCCUAAAUGUCAGAAGUCUUACUGAGCACCAGCGAAAACGAAAGCCAUUCCUGGCACCUUACAGGUCUACUCAAGAUUGAUGGUUUGGCUUUUUGAUGGAAUUCCUGCAGUAUCUUCAGAGCUGGAAGGAGAGCACUGAAAACCGAGAGGGUGAGUUUACCCAAAAUGCAAGAUCCAGGAUGUUCCUCUCUUGGCAGACAUACGAAGGCUUCCAGAUUUCUGCAAGGUCUACAAUCGAGUGCACCAGGUUUCUUCUUUCAGAGGGGAUGGAGUAUGUCCUGACAGAAAGGUUCUGUCAAGAUCCUGUGGAAGAAUAUUUUGGAAAGCAGAGGCAGUU